This 166-nucleotide ribosomal RNA is filed under the name uncultured Acidimicrobiia bacterium. RNAcentral's name for it is "partial 16S ribosomal RNA". It matches the Rfam family "Bacterial small subunit ribosomal RNA", at positions 338 to 521 of the family's 1533-position model. The record is from RNAcentral. Lineage: Bacteria; Bacillati; Actinomycetota; Acidimicrobiia.
CCUAUGGGAGGCAGCAGUUAGGAAUCUUGCGCAAUGGGGGAAACCCUGACGCAGCGACGCCGCGUGCGGGAUGAAGGCCCUCGGGUUGUAAACCGCUUUCAGCAGGGACGAAAUUGACGGUACCGGUGGAAGAAGCCCCGGCUAACUCCGUGCCAGCAGCCGCGGU